This 304-nucleotide ribosomal RNA is filed under the name uncultured bacterium. RNAcentral describes it as "bacterial SSU rRNA". It matches the Rfam family "Bacterial small subunit ribosomal RNA", at positions 28 to 334 of the family's 1533-position model. The record is from RNAcentral.
GACGAACGCUGGCGGUGUGCCUCAUACAUGCAAGUCGAACGAGAAGCAGGAGCUUGCUCCUGUGGAAAGUGGCGGACGGGUGAGUACAACAUAGGAAAUCUGCCUUAGGGUGGGGGACAACAGAGGGAAACUUCUGCUAAUACCCCAUAUGAGCUUGGUUGAAAUACCAAUCUUGAAAGUUCCGGCGCCCUAAGAUGAGCCUGUGCCUGAUUAGCUAGUUGGUGGUGUAAUGGACUACCAAGGCGACGAUCAGUAGCUGGUUUGAGAGGAUGAUCAGCCACAAUGGGACUGAGACACGGUCCAA